Molecule: ribosomal RNA, 630 nt
Filed under: uncultured Bacteroidota bacterium
Lineage: Bacteria; Pseudomonadati; Bacteroidota
Description: bacterial SSU rRNA
Rfam family: Bacterial small subunit ribosomal RNA
Source: RNAcentral
UUAGUUAGUUGGUGUGGUAACGGCAUACCAAGACGAUGAUGGGUAGGGGUCCUGAGAGGGAGAUCCCCCACACUGGUACUGAGACACGGACCAGACUCCUACGGGAGGCAGCAGUGAGGAAUAUUGGUCAAUGGAGGCAACUCUGAACCAGCCAUGCCGCGUGCAGGAAGAAUCAUCUAUGGUGUGUAAACUGCUUUUGUACGGGAAGAAAAAGAAUUACGAGUAAUUUACUGACGGUACCGUAAGAAUAAGGAUCGGCUAACUCCGUGCCAGCAGCCGCGGUAAUACGGAGGAUCCAAGCGUUAUCCGGAAUCAUUGGGUUUAAAGGGUCCGUAGGCGGCUAUAUAAGUCAGUGGUGAAAGUUUUCGGCUUAACCGAAAAAUUGCCAUUGAUACUGUAUGGCUUGAAUGAUUGUGGAGUAACUAGAAUAUGUAGUGUAGCGGUGAAAUGCUUAGAUAUUACAUGGAAUACCAAUUGCGAAGGCAGGUUACUAACAAUUAAUUGACGCUGAUGGACGAAAGCGUGGGUAGCGAACAGGAUUAGAUACCCUGGUAGUCCACGCCGUAAACGAUGGAUACUAGCUGUUCGGGCGUAAGCUUGAGUGGCUAAGCGAAAGUGAUAAGUUCCCAC